This is a non-coding RNA of Arachis ipaensis, 732 nucleotides long. NCBI's taxonomy places the organism in Eukaryota, Viridiplantae, Streptophyta, Magnoliopsida, Fabales, Fabaceae. The record is from RefSeq and is a predicted model, not a curated record.
UCCCGGUCACCCCCCCUUCGCAUUCGUGAGUCUCACCCCUCAUCUGAAGCCCAAAAAUCAACGUUACCAAACCAAAACCCUAGCUUCCUCCUCAACGGUUCUGCCGCAGUGCCGCCGCCGUCCGUGUUGUCGACGCCGUCCGUGACUUCCUCUCUCCCCCUAUCCCGAACCCAAGCCCUCUCUUGUAGGCUAUAGCUCGGCACGUCGUCCCCAUCCUCCGGCUUCUCUGUUCGAGGCUUGGAGCAGCUCGCCGUCGUGUCGCCGCUCGCCGCUCGCCGUCCGUCUCUCCGUCGAAGUUGCUUAUAGGGAGUGAAAAUGGCAUGUUACCUCAAAGAGGAAUGUUGGCAGCCCCAAGAAUGGCAAGCCUUAGGAGCUUGAUGAGGCUUGUCACCCUUCAUUGGCCCUUUUCAUGGAUGAGAUCAAGAUUGGAUGAAAUCAAUAACAACAAGAGUUCUUUGCCUUCUGAUUCAAUGAUAAUUUGACCACGGUUGAACUGGUUGGACCAGUAAACUAGUGAACUAGUGACUAGAACGGUUUGAUGACUGGUCCGGUUUUCAGAACCUUGCCAGAACGAGAAGAAAGUGGCAGUGAUCGUGUACGAGUGAGUGUGGAGAGUUCAAACGUGAAGGCGCCAUGAGGAUCACUCUCGAUCCAUCAUCGGAUCCAAGUCCUCAACCAAAACGUUCUCCUCUAACUCUUACUCCCACAGAUGAACUCGAAUGGGUCCCACUC